UAUGACUAUAUCACGUUGAAAACCCGGUUCCCGUACGUUUAGCGAAGUUAAGCAACGUCGUGCCUGGUCAGUCCAUAGAUGAGUGACCACUUGGGAAUAUGAGGUCCUGUA
This is a non-coding RNA of Acanthosepion pharaonis, 111 nucleotides long. Lineage: Eukaryota; Metazoa; Mollusca; Cephalopoda; Sepiida; Sepiidae. The record is from the annotation of a GenBank genome assembly.